This 75-nucleotide transfer RNA is filed under the name Chitinophaga rupis. RNAcentral's name for it is "tRNA_Asn_GTT". It matches the Rfam family "tRNA". Rfam says of the family: Transfer RNA (tRNA) molecules are approximately 80 nucleotides in length. Their secondary structure includes four short double-helical elements and three loops (D, anti-codon, and T loops). Further hydrogen bonds mediate the characteristic L-shaped molecular structure. tRNAs have two regions of fundamental functional importance: the anti-codon, which is responsible for specific mRNA codon recognition, and the 3' end, to which the tRNAs corresponding amino acid is attached (by aminoacyl-tRNA synthetases). tRNAs cope with the degeneracy of the genetic code in two manners: having more than one tRNA (with a specific anti-codon) for a particular amino acid; and 'wobble' base-pairing, i.e. permitting non-standard base-pairing at the 3rd anti-codon position. The record is from RNAcentral. Lineage: Bacteria; Pseudomonadati; Bacteroidota; Chitinophagia; Chitinophagales; Chitinophagaceae.
GGAUAGGUAGCUUAAUGGUAAAGCAGCGGCCUGUUAAGCCGCAGGAUGAAAGUUCGAAUCUUUCCCGCUCCGCAA